This is a long non-coding RNA of Malaclemys terrapin pileata, 412 nucleotides long. RefSeq lists it as uncharacterized. The transcript has 3 exons. The record is from RefSeq and is a predicted model, not a curated record. Lineage: Eukaryota; Metazoa; Chordata; Testudines; Emydidae.
CCGUAGGCCACUAUUGGCUAUGCACGGCGCCACACCUGACCGCGCGCACCGCGGCCGGCUCCCGCCCUCCGUCCCCGCCUGGAUGCUGAGAUAUAAAUGGCCAGGACCCAACUUUAAUGGGAGGACAUCCCUCCAGGUCUCUCUGCCUAGCCCAGCCAUCAAACUUCUCCUAUUCCGACCCCCAGCACUUCAUCUCCCAACUUAGGCAGUAGGAGACAUCAGGAGGUCAAGGAGUCUGAGAGCUGCAGCCAAGACACUGCCCACAUCAGCACCCAGUAAGAUAAGAGCAGCCAUGUGAUGCUGUGUGUGUCCACUAGCCUCUCUCUGGUGUUCUUGCAUUUUCAGGAGCUGAAACACAUUGGUCCAAAAGGAUAAAGACUUAAAACUUAAAAAAAAAAAUUGCAUAGAGAGU